This 618-nucleotide ribosomal RNA is filed under the name Triticum aestivum (bread wheat). RNAcentral's name for it is "partial small subunit ribosomal RNA". The record is from RNAcentral. Lineage: Eukaryota; Viridiplantae; Streptophyta; Magnoliopsida; Poales; Poaceae.
AUGAAUGUCUUAAGUUGGAACUGCUGAGGGGCGGGGAACCCUCGGACAGUUCGUGAUCUUGUGAGUCUUGUUCAGACUCACUCCCCUAGCAUUGUUUUUCUUUGUGAAACUCGACAGUCCAAGAAUAAAAUGAGUAGGUAUCGUGCUCGCUUAGGUUUAAAGGGUUUUGAUGCUUUUGAUAGUGUUGGUCUUAGUGGAGGUCUUGCUUUGUAUUGGCAUGAGGCGGUGUGUGUGGAUGUAAAAACAAUAAAUGAAAGAUAUAUCGAUGCGUAUGUGACGAGUGUGGCGGGCGAGCCGCCUUGGAGGCUCACUUGCAUCUACGGCGAGCCCCGUACGGAGGACCGACAUCGCAUGUGGUCCAUCCUCCGUGAUCUGCACCGACAAGCCAACAUGCCAUGGGCAGUGGUUGGCGAUUUCAACGAGGCCAUGUGGGGCUUCGAACACUUUUCUGCUACACCAAGAUCGGCAGGUCAGAUGAUCGACUUCCGUGAUGUGCUUGAAGUAUGUGGCUUGGGUGAUCUUGGUUUUGCAGGGCUCCCGUAUACAUAUGAUAACCGGCGAGGUGGGCGGGCAAAUGUCAAGGUACGCCUAGACCGGGCCGUGGCAAAUAACUCCUAG